RNAcentral lists this ribosomal RNA (253 nucleotides) under uncultured bacterium. RNAcentral describes it as "partial 16S ribosomal RNA". It matches the Rfam family "Bacterial small subunit ribosomal RNA", at positions 524 to 776 of the family's 1533-position model. The record is from RNAcentral.
GACGUAGGGGGCCAGCGUUGUUCGGAAUUACUGGGUGUAGAGGGUUCGUAGGCGGUGCGGCAAGUUGGGAGUGAAAUCUCUGGGCUCAACCCAGAGGCUGCUUCCAAAACUGCUGUGCUUGAGUGUGGGAGAGGCGCGUGGAAUUGCAGGUGUAGCGGUGAAAUGCGUAGAUAUCUGCAGGAACACCCGUGGCGAAAGCGGCGCGCUGGUCCACACCUGACGCUGAGGCGCGUAAGCUAGGGGAGCAUUCAGU